This 484-nucleotide unclassified non-coding RNA is filed under the name Hevea brasiliensis (rubber tree). The record is from RNAcentral. Lineage: Eukaryota; Viridiplantae; Streptophyta; Magnoliopsida; Malpighiales; Euphorbiaceae.
AUCGAUUUGUCAUUGAAUAUUGAAGAAGAAGAAGAAGAAGGAAGGAGACGACAUGUCGCGAGAAAGAUCGAGAAGAGCCAAUCUGCCUCCUGUUCAAGAGAACAUUGAGAAGUUGGAGAAAGUCAUAAAUGAGGGUAACUGCUAUGGAGCACAACAGAUGUACAAAUCAAUCAGUGCGCGAUAUUCAUCUGCUCAGAGAUAUUCUGAAGCUUUGGAUCUACUUCAUUCAGGUGCAUGCCUCCAACUUGAACAUGGACAGGUAACUUGCGGAUCAGAGCUUGCUGUAUUGUUUGUGGAGACACUUGUUAAGGGAAAAGUUCCUUAUGAUGAUGAUACACUUGAUCGCGUCAGGAAAAUCUACAAGAUGUUUCCUCAAAUUCCUCUGCCACAACACUUGGGGGACUUGGUGGAUGAUGAUGAUGUGCAACAAGAAGUACAACUCACUGAAGCCAUUAGGGCAGCAAAAACAUGUGUAGGAACUGGC